UACGAAGGGGGCUAGCGUUGCUCGGAAUCACUGGGCGUAAAGGGCGCGUAGGCGGGUCUUUUAAGUCAGGGGUGAAAUCCUGGAGCUCAACUCCAGAACUGCCUUUGAUACUGAGGAUCUUGAGUUCGGGAGAGGUGAGUGGAACUGCGAGUGUAGAGGUGAAAUUCGUAGAUAUUCGCAAGAACACCAGUGGCGAAGGCGGCUCACUGGCCCGAUACUGACGCUGAGGCACGAAAGCGUGGGGAGCAAACAGG
RNAcentral lists this ribosomal RNA (254 nucleotides) under uncultured bacterium. RNAcentral's name for it is "partial 16S ribosomal RNA". It matches the Rfam family "Bacterial small subunit ribosomal RNA", at positions 524 to 776 of the family's 1533-position model. The record is from RNAcentral.